GUCUACUUUUGUAGGGAAAAGGCUCCUCCUGCCACAACAGGUAACAUCAAUUUUGCUCUCCUUUUUCCAUACUUAUAAUUUGGUUUUAGGAAUUUGAUCUUGUUUUGUCGCUGCUAUUUGAUUAUUAUUAUGAAGGAUGGGUCUUUGUUCAUUGUUCUUGAGGAACAGCGUUUCCUUUCAAACUACGUCCAAUUGAUUAUGAAGGAUGGGUCUUUGUUCAUUGUUCUUAAACUCUGCUAGUAGGAAUAUCAUGGUUUCCUUUCAAAUUAUGUUUUCGAUCUUGUCAUUGGUUUUGGUUAAAUUUAUCAAAAUUUGUGACAUUGUUUUCCCAUUAGUAUGAAUGGAUGCAUAUAGUUGCUUGCUAUCUAGUUGAGAAUUGCUUUUGCUAUUUGAUUUUAUGCAUGAUUACAAUGGAUGCAUAAUAUGUGUGCAUGAGGGCUUUUGGAUGUCUGGACCUAGCUCUAGUGUGCAUAAGGUUUUCGAUGUCGCCGUGCUAGAAAAAAAAGUGGUGAGAUAAAUGGAAGGAUUGGGACUUGUGGGUACUCUUUGGCGGUACAACAGAGAUCACUAAACUUGAGGUGCUGUCCUUUGUUCACAUAUAAUUAAAAUUGAUUUUAAUGGUUGUCUACUUGUGUUGUUGUAGAUGUUUGAAGAUUUUAUGCGGGCAAUUCAGUUGGUGGGUAAGAAGAUCAGCAUAGGAAGUUGAGCAUGACUUGAAUCGAAGUAUUAUUGUUUGUUAAUGGUUCUUAGUUUAUAAUUUGAACCUCUUUCUAGAAUAUUUGUGUUAAGUAAUCUAAACUCAUCUAAAACUUUUGAUUAUUGACUAUAACAGUAGUGCUGCUUCUAUGUUUAAUAAUUUAGUUAUUAUCCUAAAUCCUAAUUUCUUGUACUCAGCUUUAGGUAAAGAGUGUAAAUUCUAUUUUGCUGUCUUGUCUCAAUGUUUAUGGCUUAUUUUCUCCCAACGGCUCUCGACAAAGCUUUUAUAUGCCAAUAAUUUAAUCGUUUGGUUGCUGUGGUUGCUACCAAUUCAUUUGCAAACUGCAGUGGUUAUCAGCCUUAAAUGAUAUAUCAUCCCAACAUAUAUAACUAGGUCAAUUGUUAUCUUUUUAAAAACCCAUCGUUAUUCUUCUCUUCCAACUAAACAAAAAAUACCAAUUGCCGUUUAAUUUUCAAUUUGAU
RNAcentral lists this long non-coding RNA (1179 nucleotides) under Durio zibethinus. RNAcentral's name for it is "long non-coding RNA (DZIB_LNC000287)". The record is from RNAcentral. Lineage: Eukaryota; Viridiplantae; Streptophyta; Magnoliopsida; Malvales; Malvaceae.